CCUACGGGAGGCAGCAGUAGGGAAUUUUGCGCAAUGGGGGAAACCCUGACGCAGCAACACCGCGUGAAGGAUGAGGGUUUUGGGGUGUAAAGCUCUUUCAAUAGGGACGAAUUUUGACUGUACCUAUCCAGUAAGCACCGGCUAACUCCGUGCCAGCAGCCGCGGUAAUACGGAGGGUGCAAGCGUUCUCCGGAAUCAUUGGGCGUAAAGCGUUCGUAGGCGGUAUGUCAAGUCAGAUGUGAAAGCCCGGGGCUCAACGCCGGUACGGCAUUUGAUACUGGCAAACUAGAGUGUGGUAGAGGUAAGGGGAAUUCCUGGUGUAGCGGUGAAAUGCGUAGAUAUCAGGAGGAACAUCGGUGGCGAAGGCGCUUUACUGGAACAUUACUGACGCUGAGGAACGAAAGCGUGGGGAGCAAAUGGGAUUAGAUACCCCAGUAGUC
This 440-nucleotide ribosomal RNA is filed under the name uncultured bacterium. RNAcentral describes it as "partial 16S ribosomal RNA". It matches the Rfam family "Bacterial small subunit ribosomal RNA", at positions 338 to 795 of the family's 1533-position model. The record is from RNAcentral.